UACAGAGGGUGCGAGCGUUGUUCGGAAUUACUGGGCGUAAAGCGCGCGCAGGCGGCUUUUUAGGUCCAUCGGUGAAAUGCCGGGGCUCAACCCCGAGCAUGCCGAGGAUACUGGAAGGCUGGAGACACGUAGAGGCAAGCGGAAUUCCGGGUGUAGCGGUGGAAUGCGUAGAGAUCCGGAAGAACACCGGAGGCGAAGGCGGCUUGCUGGGCGUGAUCUGACGCUGAGGCGCGAAAGCGUGGGGAGCGAACAGG
Molecule: ribosomal RNA, 254 nt
Filed under: uncultured bacterium
Lineage: Bacteria
Description: partial 16S ribosomal RNA
Rfam family: Bacterial small subunit ribosomal RNA
Source: RNAcentral